CCCAGACUCCUACGGGAGGCAGCAGUGGGGAAUAUUGCACAAUGGGGGAAACCCUGAUGCAGCGACGCCGCGUGAGUGAAGAAGUAUUUCGGUAUGUAAAGCUCUAUCAGCAGGGAAGAAAAUGACGGUACCUGAUUAAGAAGCCCCGGCUAACUACGUGCCAGCAGCCGCGGUAAUACGUAGGGGGCAAGCGUUAUCCGGAUUUACUGGGUGUAAAGGGAGCGUAGACGGUGAUGCAAGUCAGAAGUGAAAGCCCGGGGCUCAACUCCGGGACUGCUUUUGAAACUGUGUGACUGGAGUGCAGGAGAGGUAAGCGGAAUUCCUGGUGUAGCGGUGAAAUGCGUAGAUAUCAGGAGGAACACCAGUGGCGAAGGCGGCUUACUGGACUGUAACUGACGUUGAGGCUCGAAAGCGUGGGGAGCAAACAGGAUUAGAUACCCCCGUAU
RNAcentral lists this ribosomal RNA (446 nucleotides) under uncultured bacterium. RNAcentral's name for it is "bacterial SSU rRNA". It matches the Rfam family "Bacterial small subunit ribosomal RNA", at positions 330 to 793 of the family's 1533-position model. The record is from RNAcentral.